UACGUAGGGUGCGAGCGUUGUCCGGAAUCACUGGGCGUAAAGCGCACGUAGGCGGCUUUCUAAGUCAGGGGUGAAAUCCUGGAGCUCAACUCCAGAACUGCCUUUGAUACUGGAAAGCUUGAGUUCGGGAGAGGUGAGUGGAACUGCGAGUGUAGAGGUGAAAUUCGUAGAUAUUCGCAAGAACACCAGUGGCGAAGGCGGCUCACUGGCCCGAUACUGACGCUGAGGUGCGAAAGCGUGGGGAGCAAACAGG
This 253-nucleotide ribosomal RNA is filed under the name uncultured bacterium. Its description in RNAcentral is "partial 16S ribosomal RNA". It matches the Rfam family "Bacterial small subunit ribosomal RNA", at positions 524 to 776 of the family's 1533-position model. The record is from RNAcentral.